Non-coding RNA from Phalacrocorax carbo (great cormorant), 1471 nucleotides. The record is from RefSeq and is a predicted model, not a curated record. Lineage: Eukaryota; Metazoa; Chordata; Aves; Suliformes; Phalacrocoracidae.
CUCAAAGCCCUAGUCCCAGAUUUACAGCAACAUGGUGUGCUGUUGAUUUCUCACAAAGAAGCCGUCAAAAACCAGCUCUGAGAAGCUUCUGCUGUGAAAGAAGUGACGUGUUUGCAACUCAGAAGCUAAGGAAGCUGCCAAAAACCAUAAGGUUAAACCAGCUCAGCUAUCUACCUGCUGAUGGAGUCCAGCACUUGAAAGAAACUUAUAAGAGAGGAUGAAGAACAUUGGUCAGGGAAGAAGAGAGGAAGGAGGAGAGGGAAACUUCUCAAGGUUAAGAUUUUCUCUCAAGAAUUUACUCUCAGUUUAUAUACUAUUAUUUUACCCUAUAUACUGUAAUCUGCAUAGUUUGGCCUAGCCUGUGUGUAGAGCAAGUAAUAUUGGCACCUGUUGUUCCUUUACACAGUUAUAUCACUUUUUGUAUCUAGGCAAGAUGAUCUUGUUACAUGUUAUCCAAUGCUUGUUGACCAAUAAAUACAUUUUAAAGAGUCCACACAGUCCUUGAGAAUAGGGCUUCUGAGGCAUGUGGGGCUGGGAAAAGAGGUGUUUUACCUCUUGGUUCAACCUGAUGGAGUUUUGCACAUGCACGCACGCACAGUGGUAAAUGCAGAGUAUUCUCAGCCCCUGACUUCUCACAGUCUACAAGACUCCCAGUCUGUCAUGGUUUUAGCUGGGAUAGAGUUAAUUUUCUUCACUGCAGCUGGCAUAGUGCUGUGCUUUGGACGUAGUAUCAAAACAAUCUUGAUAACACACCGAUGUUUUGGUUGCUGCUGGGUAGUGCUUUUCUAGCUUCCCAAGCUCUGCUGGGCGCACAAGAAGCUGGGAGGGGAGGGGGCGCAGCCAAGAGAGCGGAUUCAAACUGGCCAAAGGGAUAUUCCAUAUCAUGUAACGUCAUGCCCAGUAUGUUACCUGGGAGGGGCUGGCCGGGGGAGGGAAGCGGCAAUCACUGCUCAGGGACAGGCAGCAUCAGUCAGCGGGUGGUGAGUGGUGGUAUCAUUUUUAUUUCUUUUUUUUCCCUUCUCCUUUUUAUUAUAUUAUCAUUAUUGUUAUUAUUAUCAUAAUAGUUAUUAUAACUAUAAUUAUUAUUUUACUGUAAUUAUUAAACUGUUCUUAUCUCAACCCACAAGUUGUUGUUUUGUGCUUUUGUUCUUCCGAUUCUCAUCCCCCAUCCCACAGGGGUGGGGGGAGUGAGCGAGCGGCUGCGUGGUGUUUAGUUGCCAACUAAGGCUGAACCAUGACACAGUCUUUCCUAACCUCAGGUCAACUUCAAAUUCUAGUUGCAAAAGAGAAGCUUAGGUAACUGCCUGGAGUUUUUAUGAUGGUGAUAUAGCUAAAUCAUUACAGAUGAAUUUCAUAAGCUGUGUGAUAAAACUUAUGCCAUCUUAUGAUGUCAGGCAAUGGCUAGCUCUCUCAUCUUGUUCAUUUCUGCAGUAAGUUCCCAACUGAUUUUUCCUGACAUAGGGACUACAGU